RNAcentral lists this ribosomal RNA (448 nucleotides) under uncultured bacterium. RNAcentral's name for it is "bacterial SSU rRNA". It matches the Rfam family "Bacterial small subunit ribosomal RNA", at positions 330 to 792 of the family's 1533-position model. The record is from RNAcentral.
UCCAGACUCCUACGGGAGGCAGCAGUGGGGAAUAUUGCACAAUGGGGGAAACCCUGAUGCAGCGACGCCGCGUGAGCGAAGAAGUAUUUCGGUAUGUAAAGCUCUAUCAGCAGGGAAGAAAAAAAUGACGGUACCUGAGUAAGAAGUACCGGCUAAAUACGUGCCAGCAGCCGCGGUAAUACGUAUGGUGCAAGCGUUAUCCGGAUUUACUGGGUGUAAAGGGAGCGUAGGCGGCGCGUUAAGUCUGAUGUGAAAACCCGAGGCUCAACCACGGGAGUGCAUUGGAAACUGGCGGGCUGGAGUGCCGGAGAGGUAAGCGGAAUUCCUAGUGUAGCGGUGAAAUGCGUAGAUAUUAGGAGGAACACCAGUGGCGAAGGCGGCUUACUGGACGGCAACUGACGCUGAGGCUCGAAAGCGUGGGGAGCAAACAGGAUUAGAUACCCCGGUA